RNAcentral lists this microRNA precursor (101 nucleotides) under Ixodes scapularis (black-legged tick). Its description in RNAcentral is "microRNA isc-mir-79 precursor". Its record names the gene isc-mir-79. The stretch from base 15 to 90 matches the Rfam family "mir-9/mir-79 microRNA precursor family". Rfam says of the family: The mature ~21nt miRNAs are processed from hairpin precursor sequences represented here. miR-9 is processed from the 5' arm of its precursor, and miR-79 from the 3' arm. The record is from miRBase by way of RNAcentral. Lineage: Eukaryota; Metazoa; Arthropoda; Arachnida; Ixodida; Ixodidae.
AGAGGAUGAAGGCGCUGAUAUUUUCUUUGGUUAUCUAGCUGUAUGAGUGAUAUUAACAUCAUAAAGCUAGGUUACCAAAGUUAACAGCACUGCCGUAAUGC